UUUAUGGAGAGUUUGAUCCUGGCUCAGGAUGAACGCUGGCGGCGUGCCUAAUACAUGCAAGUCGAGCGAACUGACGAGGAGCUUGCUCCUUUGACGUUAGCGGCGGACGGGUGAGUAACACGUGGGUAACCUACCUAUAAGACUGGAAUAACUCCGGGAAACCGGGGCUAAU
This 172-nucleotide ribosomal RNA is filed under the name Staphylococcus chromogenes. RNAcentral describes it as "partial 16S ribosomal RNA". It matches the Rfam family "Bacterial small subunit ribosomal RNA", at positions 1 to 167 of the family's 1533-position model. The record is from RNAcentral. Lineage: Bacteria; Bacillati; Bacillota; Bacilli; Caryophanales; Staphylococcaceae.